Molecule: transfer RNA, 73 nt
Filed under: Ixodes scapularis (black-legged tick)
Lineage: Eukaryota; Metazoa; Arthropoda; Arachnida; Ixodida; Ixodidae
Rfam family: tRNA
About the family: Transfer RNA (tRNA) molecules are approximately 80 nucleotides in length.
Source: Rfam by way of RNAcentral
CCCUGGUUAGCUCAAAUGGUAGAGCGCUCCACCUGUAAUGGAGAGGUCCCGGGUUGGAUACCCGGACCAGGCG